Molecule: transfer-messenger RNA, 381 nt
Filed under: bacterium
Lineage: Bacteria
Rfam family: transfer-messenger RNA
About the family: Bacterial tmRNA, also known as 10Sa RNA or SsrA, is named for its dual tRNA and mRNA-like properties. Its role is to liberate the mRNA from a stalled ribosome.
Source: RNAcentral
GGGGCUGUUAUAGUUCGACAGGGGUUGGAAGACAGUAUCUGCAAGUCGUCAAAUUCACGAUACGAAUUAAACACAACAAUAAGUGCCAAUACAUUUAUUAGCAGAGUCAAGACAGCUUUUGCUGGCAUGACUUUUGCGCCAGCUUUCGCCUAAAACCGAAAGCCGUUCCCUAGUGACUCGAUGCCGAAGGCACUAGACAGAACGCCAAAAAAUCGGAUUGCAAACUAAUUAAGUCUCGCGUUAGUCUAAGUCUCUAUGAGACUGCAGUGCAAUUGUUCCGUUUGUUCUAGAGAUUGUACUAAAGAUGAAGAACAAACUAAGCUUGUAGAUGAUACGUUGAAAAAUUUCUGGACGGGAGUGCGAUUCUCCCCAGCUCCACCA